This 277-nucleotide ribosomal RNA is filed under the name uncultured bacterium. RNAcentral describes it as "partial 16S ribosomal RNA". It matches the Rfam family "Bacterial small subunit ribosomal RNA", at positions 28 to 315 of the family's 1533-position model. The record is from RNAcentral.
GACGAACGCUGGCGGUGUGCCUCACACAUGCAAGUCGAACGGGGUAGCAAUACCUAGUGGCGGACGGGUGAGUAACACGUGGGAAUCUGCCUCGAGGUGGGUGGACAACAGACCGAAAGGGCUGCUAAUCCCCCAUAUGCGCGUAUUCCGACAGGAAUGUGCGUGAAAGGAGCAAUCCGCCUUGAGAUGAGCCCGCGUCCGAUUAGCUAGUUGGUAGGGUAAAAGCCUACCAAGGCGACGAUCGGUAGGUGGUCUGAGAGGAUGAUCACCCACAAUG